UUGGUUUGGGUAACUGGGUAGAUGGGGGCGCCAUUAUCGCGCUUCUCUUGCAGGGGGCCGGUGAAGGUUAUACGAGAGGCUCCAUCUGUCCUUAUUGAAAGUGCUCUUAACGCAGGGACCAGCCUUCUUGCUGACGCCUGGGCCACCGAGCACAGGGACAGGACGGGGUUGCUGGAGGUGCAAGCUGGGAGAAAGCAGAGAACUGACUCCAUGCAGAGUUGGGAUUAAGAGCCCCUGGACAAGGGGCCAAGGCAGUGAAGGACGUCCAUCACUCAUCUGCCACUAUCCUCCUCACAUUUAAUCCUCACAACACCCCUGUGAGGUAGGUAUCAUCGCCCCCUCUUACAGAUGAGGAAACUGAGGCUCACACAUGCCCAGGGGCACACAGUCGACAGGACGGGUCUACAGUUCCAACGCUUGGGUUCUCACCCCGACCACGCCCCACCCAGGGUGGCCAGAAUUCCCUUAUAGUAGCAAAAAGACAGCUGCCGCGGACAUGAAUACACACAGCACCAGCACACAUAAAAGCAGCAGCUCAGUGAGCAUCUCCCAGCCCUGGGUUUCUGGUUCAAGCGCAUUUGGGGGCCAGGCGCCGUGGCUCAUGCCUGUAAUCCCAGCACUUUGGGAGACCGAAGUGGGCGGAUCACCUGAGGUCAUGAGUUCGAGACUAGUCUGGCCAACAUGGUGAAAUCCUGUCUCUACCGAAAAUACAAAAAUUAGCUGGGCGUGGUUGGGUGCUUGUAAUCCCAGCUACCCAGGAGGCUGAGGCAGGAGUAUCUGGGAGGCGGAGGUUACAGUGAGUUGAGAGUUGAGAUCAUGCCACUGCACUCCAGCCGGGGAGACAAGACCAAAACUGUCUCCAAAAAAAAAAAAGCAUCUGGGGGACACUUCUGGCCAAGUGGUUCUUUCUUACAUUUGCAGAGUAAACAGAAGUGGAUGGCAGCAGGGUGUGUUGUGGUCAGCCCGUUCCCAGGGAGAGGCCAUGGUUACAUGGCCCCAGGCAGGCUCCCCAGGAGUGGGCUGCUGGCUCCCAGGCUCCCUUUCCAUGCAGGAGCAGAGUCUCCGUGGCCAGCAGGAAAGCCCAGGGGUCUGCCUCCCUCCCACGGGCCCCCACAGCAGAGCUGCAGUUGGGAUCAGCCAGGACACGGCCCCCAACUGCUAUGCUCUUCUGCCUCUUGGUCACCUCAGAUGUUACAGAGGACUUCAAGUUUUUUCUGGCUAGCCUAUCUGGGAAAAUUCUUUUUGCAUAAAGUGUGUCAGGAUGGCAUUGAGGGGCUGGAGUAAGAUUUUUGUUUUGCAGGUGAACCUAAAUAAUGGUGGGAAUCUCUUGUUUUUUUAAUACCUUCUGUUUUAAGUUUUUCUUUUGUUUUCAUCUUGGAAGAAGGAAAUUUAGAAAUAAGACAGGAAAAGAAUGGCCCAGAAAUUCAGCACAAAGAGAGGUGUUCACAUUGACGCCAUCUGUGGGUCACAUACGAACGCCUCUGGGACAGAGCUCUAAAACGAGUCACGUGUUGUAGGGAGUGGGCCUGUGGCCAAGGCAGUCCACGCAGUGUGCAGGGACGCAGGCCCCCUUACCAUGGAAGCCCCACCCAGAAGGAAGUGGGUGCCCCAUGCAGGCUGAGGUGGAUGAGGGGACAGUGGUGUGCUCACAGCUGUCAGCUCCCCACUGAAGCCGCAAACCAGCAGAUGUGGGCAGGGGCUCGAGUGGUGUCUGACUACCCAGGUCACACGUGACUUGAGCGUGAAAGCUGUCAGCUCCCGGCACGGGGCUCUGGUGGGGCUGGGAACACCAGGACACACAUGGGCUGAAGCUUCCAGAGACAGUGAGACACGGAAGGGACAGAGAGGUGCCCUCCACGCAGUGCGGCCAACUGUUUCCAGGCUAAACUUUCCAAAGAGAGAGAUCUGAGCUCUUCACCCUCAUUUCAACAUUCUGAUGGCUUGCACGGGACUCCCGCGGAGAGAGAAACUUGGUGGCCGCAAGUCAUCCUCUCUGCAAUCUGUGCAAAGGCCUCCAUGGUCUAUGCAGCGUUCCUAUGCUAUGCUCCCACCCUUCGCCUCCAGCCCCCUCAGUACACAUCCACUGCGGCAAAUGUGCUGACACACUUACAGCCUCACAAGGCCCAGGUUCAUGUCCUCCUCCUCACUGUGUAUGCAUAGGUUUAUCCGCUUCACCUGUUGCUGGGGAACACUGCUCUCCGGGGGACUUGGGGGACGACACUGUAAACAUGACUUCCUGGCCUGAUGGUGGCAGGGCUGUGUGUGCGAGUCACUGUCCAGGGACAGCACUGAGGUAGGUCGGGGCAGGGCCCCCAAGCCACCGUCCACGGAGCUUGUGGGACUUGCGGUGCUGACGGAGGAGUACCCUGAGGUCGUGACAUCCUUCCCUGGCUCCCGGCUGGUGCGGACCAGGGGUUUGGGUCCAGGGGUUGCAGGGAUCUGGGUGUCCAGCGCCAGUGCCUGUGGGUCCUGGGGUCCCUUGUCCUCUGGGCAAGCCUCCUCAUCACUGGAUUCCUGGCAGCAAUGCUGUUCUGGGUUCAGGUAGACCACGGUGACAUCGAGGAUGCCGCUGGGAGCUGUCACUGCAGGAAGGUUGGUGGGGAGGGAAGUCAUGUCACACCCAAGCAUCAGGGGAGACCCCCUGCCAGGUCAGGACCCUGAAGUCCAGGUCAAGAAUCUUCUACCUUGCUACGGUCCCCUGUGUUACCCUCCUGUGGUGAGAAGCGUGGGUGACAUGCCUCUUCCAAGUUGGACAGCUGCCCGCCAUGACUCCAACAAAUGUGGAGAUGACAAGUUGGCCAUCUAGCUCAAGCCAAGUGGACGCAGAAGCAAGCAACCGGGAAACUGACAAGACUCACACUAACUGGGCUUCUGGCAAGGACCCCGCAGUCUGCCUGGGGUUUGCACAGGGCAGUGAUCCCAGCAGGGCAGUGAGGAGUGUCACGUAUACCACGUGGGCACACCUCAAACAACAUUCUAGAAAGAACGCCCAGGCUAGAGUGCAGUGGCAUGAUCACGGCUCACUGCAGCUCCCACCUCCUGUGCUCAAGAGAUCCUCCCACCUCAGCCUCCUGAGUAGCUGGGACCACAGGCGCACGCCACGACGCCCAGCUAAUUUUUAAAUUUUUUGUCUUGCUCUGUCACCCAGGCUGGUCUUGAACUUCUAGCCUGGAGUGAUCCUCCUGCCUCAGCCUCUCAAAUUGCUGGGAUUACAGGCCUGAGAUUACGGGCCUAGAAGGAUCUCCAUGAACUCUAGACAGGGUCUCUGCCUCCCUCAUCCUAGUGAGGUCCUCCCAACACGGAAUGAGCAGGAGCCGGAUAGGUGUGGCCUAAGUCCUCUCAUCCCCGUGUGGGAGCAGCUGUGGUCUUUUGGGGGCUCUCCCCUCCUCUCUCCCCAUGUCUGGACACACUCCCCGGCGGGGCAGGAGCUGGCCCCACCCCGCACUCUGUGCACAUCUUCCUCCCACAGCGCUCGCACAGGGCCAGGUGCCCUGAGGCCCUCGGUGACAGCCACCCUCUGUGUGAUGUCCCUUCUGGUGCGCCCUGGCCCCACACUCACCAUCGCCCUCCUUCUCGCCCUCACUCUCCUGGUCGCCUUCAUAGCCAGAGCAGCAGUCCAGGCUCCAGUCGAGGAAGCUGCCCAGCAGCGUCUCCUCCUGGCUGGACAGCUCCGCAGUGGGGGUGGUAACGAAGCUGCCCCUGUCUUCCUGGAGGCUGUUCUCCCGCUUCCUGUAAGGUGGAGAGCCCAGGAGACCCAGUCAUGGACGGCGGCACUGGGAGGCCAGGCCCGCCACACCUGCCUCUAACACCCGCAUGCCCCAGCCUGUCACCACAUGCUCCCAAAGGGUCUGCUGCGAAGAAAAUGCCGGUAAAGCUAGAACAGGUAUAAGCCCUUUAGGCAGGGCCAACCUGGAGGACCCCGCUCAGGCAAACUCAGGCCCCAGGUCUGGGUGUGAAGCCCAGCCCACUUGGCUCAGCUGUGGGGCGUGGGCCAACCAUCUGGUCCCCUGGAAACCCCUAGGAUGAUGCCACCUUCCACUGUUUUUUUUUUUUUUUUUUCAGGUGGUCUUGCUCUGUCACCCAGGCUAAAGUACAGUGGUGUGAUCUUGGCUCACUGCAACCUCCACCUCCCAGGUUCAAGUGAGUCUCCUGCCUCAGGCUCCUGAGUAGCUGGGACUACAGAUGCCCGCCAUCACACCCAGCUAAUUUUUAUAUUUUUAGUAGAGAUGGGGUUUCACCAUGAUGGCCAGGUUGGUCUCGAACUCCUAACCUCAGGUGAUCCACCCACCUCAGCCUCCCAAAGUGCUGGGAUUACAGGCAUGAGCCACUGCGCCCAGCCCCUCUGGUGUUGAUUAAUAAGGUGCAGGCAGUGCUUAGCCCGGCGCCAGGCAGAUUGCAUGGAAUGGCCUGGCCUUGGGCGGUGCUGACACCCACACCCAAGUGGGGUCAAAUCUUGCUCAGGAUGGGGCUGGAGGCCAGUGUGUGGGCCUCAGCCUGCGAAAAGCCACCACACCAGCUGAGCCUUUCCACUUCCUGACCCCAGGGCCUGGUGGAGGAGGGGGGUGGAGACAGCUACCCCAGUGUCACCCCUGGGGGUCUGUUUCAGAAGACUGAUGGGGCUGUGGGGGGCCUCUGAGAAGCGGGUUUAACACAGCGAGGCUGAGCACAGGGCCAGGCCCCCUCCUGGAGUAGCCGUGCGUAUCUGCAUGGACUUUCCUCCUGAUGACCCUGGCCCCAGGGAGUCGGCGCAUGUGUGGAGUGACACAGGAGGGUCAGGUCUCCUGCCUUCCACACAAUGGAAAGUGCUGUCAUGCUUCUUGGGGAGGAAGCAGCAGCAGGGGCUUCGGCUGCUUCCCCAGGGCUCCCCAGGAGUUGCGGUCUCCUGCCAGGAGCCCACUCCCGACACAACGCUCCUGGAGGCAGCCCUGCCUGGUCCUAUAUUGACAGGAAAGACCCAGCCACCCAGUGCCCGCCCUUGGGAAGGUUACGGGUGCACACGGUGCUGAGCAGUCACGGCGCAGGGCCAGCAGCACGGGGAGGGCCCUGUUCAUCGGGGCCUUGUGGAAUCAGUAGGAGUUCUCCAGGCGGGUGAGGUAGAAAGAGGAAGUUAACUCCAGGAGGAACAGCCAAGGUGCUGAGAUAGGAGAGGCAGGUAAACAGGUCCACACGGGUGGCGAGGGAAGUGCUGGGGAUGUGACUCAGGUCACAACUCGAGUGCCGGGAGUGACAGCAGCAUCAUGGAGCAGAGAAGUCCAGGACGCGCAUGACAGGCACGGGCAGGGCUAGAGCCAGGCUGGGCUCCCGCGUGCUCGAAACCAUCUUCCUCCACAGGGAGCCCAGUCAGAGCGAGAGGCAAUAGCCUCUGAGGAAGGAGACCUGGGCUGGAGACAGUGGAGGUUACGCAGGGGCCCGAGGCAUGACUGCAGGGCUCCGUCCCAGGGUCACUGUCCUGGGAUCUGCUGCUCCCCUGACAAGCCUUGGGGGCCUCUCUGUGUGAGGAAGCGCUGAGGGAACUGGGCCGGCACGAGGAUGCCAGCAUUGUAUGGCGCAGCCAGAACGCAGGGUAACUAACCGUUUGGUUCUUCGCCCCGAGGGAGAGCUGAGGAAGGCGUGGAUCUCCCCUGUGCUGAGGAAAGUCGGGGGGUCGGGGCUGUCUUGUGUCACUCCUAAUGCAGCACACAACUGGCUGUAGCUCAGCACCUGAGGGGAAGCCAGAGUUAGGGGGUGCAGAGGCCCCGAGGGUGAGGCCCACCCACACCCCAGCACCCCAUGAGAUGCCCAGGUGGCGGGAGGGAGGCACCUCUUCCUGGCUGAUUUCUCCGUAGCGCUUGUCCUCAAACCGCUGCUUCACGGCGGUCAGAGAGACUUGCCUGUAGUCCUUGGGGGCGUCAUCGUGGAAGCUGGAAACAGAGUCACGUGGAGUGGACAUGUGAGGCACCCCCACCCCAUUUUUAGCUUCAGUUCACUGAAGUGAGCAAUGAGAAUGCAAAAUGGUGCAGUCACUCUGGAAUCUGACCUGGCAGUUCCCAGAAUGGUUAAACUCAGUCACCACAGGACCUAGCAAUUCCUCUCUAGGUAAAGACCCAGGAAAAAGGAAAAACUAUGUCCACACAGAAACCUGUACUAGAAUGUUCAUGGCAGGACUGUUCACAAUAGGCAAAAUGUCCACCAGCUGCGGGAUGGAUAAACACAUGUGGUCCAUGCAGGGGACUAUUAUUCAGCCAUGAAAAGGAACAAAGCAGGGACACAUGCCACAUGGACAAACCCAGCAAACGUUACAGCGAGGGAAAUCACCUAGACACAAAAGGCCACUUGUCCGAUGACGCCAUUUAUAUGGAAUGUCCAGAAUGGGAAAAAUCCAUGGACUGAAAGUAGACUACUGGGGGUCAUCUAGCGCUGAGGAAGUUGGGGGGAACGGGAGGGUGACAGCUGAGGGGUGUGUUGUCCCUUUGAGGAAAGUGAAAAUGUCGUCAAUUUGAUUGUUGUGAUGACAAGCACAACUGUGUGAAUACAAGCCCAUUAAAU
This 6525-nucleotide long non-coding RNA is filed under the name Pan troglodytes (chimpanzee). RNAcentral's name for it is "long non-coding RNA NONPTRT006168". Lineage: Eukaryota; Metazoa; Chordata; Mammalia; Primates; Hominidae. The record is from RNAcentral.